UGUUAAAAAUAAAAUAAUACUGGUCGCACAAUACUCCUUCCCCAAAAAGGAGACUUGACAGAUCCCCAAAACUCCUGCACUAUCACAUGUUUGAACACACAAUAUAUAAUAUUCACAGUGUGUCUGACAAACCUCGUGUCAUCCUACUGCUCUUUCAAUGACAUAAUUUACAGAGAG
Molecule: long non-coding RNA, 177 nt
Organism: Haliotis rubra (blacklip abalone)
Lineage: Eukaryota; Metazoa; Mollusca; Gastropoda; Lepetellida; Haliotidae
Exons: 3
Source: RefSeq, a predicted model, not a curated record